RNAcentral lists this unclassified non-coding RNA (432 nucleotides) under soil metagenome. RNAcentral's name for it is "partial contains 5.8S ribosomal RNA, internal transcribed spacer 2, and large subunit ribosomal RNA". The stretch from base 1 to 120 matches the Rfam family "5.8S ribosomal RNA", at positions 35 to 154 of the family's 154-position model. The record is from RNAcentral.
GAUGAAGAACGUAGCGAAAUGCGAUACGUAAUGUGAAUUGCAGAAUUCAGUGAAUCAUCGAAUCUUUGAACGCAUAUUGCGCUCUCUGGUAUUCCGGAGAGCAUGCUUGUUUGAGUAUCAGUAAACACCUCAACUUCCAUAUCUUUUUUGAAAUGGGAGUUGGUCUUGAGUGAUCCCAACGCUUUUCCUCACCGAAAAGUGGCGGGUUACUUGAAAUGCAGGUGCAGCUGGACUUUUCUCUGAGCUAUAAGCAUAUCUAUUUAGUCUGCCUAAAAAACAGAUUAUUACCUUUGCUGCAGCUAACAUAAAGGAGAUUAGUUCUUGUGCUGACUGAUGCAGGAUUCACAAAGACGGCUUCGGCCGACUUUGUAAACUCGAUCUCAAAUCAAGUAAGACUACCCGCUGAACUUAAGCAUAUCAAUAAGCGGAGGA